Molecule: ribosomal RNA, 765 nt
Filed under: uncultured Streptococcus sp.
Lineage: Bacteria; Bacillati; Bacillota; Bacilli; Lactobacillales; Streptococcaceae
Description: bacterial SSU rRNA
Rfam family: Bacterial small subunit ribosomal RNA
Source: RNAcentral
GACGAACGCUGGCGGCGUGCCUAAUACAUGCAAGUAGAACGCUGAAGAGAGGAGCUUGCUCUUCUUGGACGAGUUGCGAACGGGUGAGUAACGCGUAGGUAACCUGCCUUGUAGCGGGGGAUAACUAUUGGAAACGAUAGCUAAUACCGCAUAACAAUAGGUGACACAUGUCAUUUAUUUGAAAGGGGCAAUUGCUCCACUACAAGAUGGACCUGCGUUGUAUUAGCUAGUAGGUGAGGUAACGGCUCACCUAGGCGACGAUACAUAGCCGACCUGAGAGGGUGAUCGGCCACACUGGGACUGAGACACGGCCCAGACUCCUACGGGAGGCAGCAGUAAGGAAUCUUCGGCAAUGGGGGCAACCCUGACCGAGCAACGCCGCGUGAGUGAAGAAGGUUUUCGGAUCGUAAAGCUCUGUUGUAAGUCAAGAACGAGUGUGAGAGUGGAAAGUUCACACUGUGACGGUAGCUUACCAGAAAGGGACGGCUAACUACGUGCCAGCAGCCGCGGUAAUACGUAGGUCCCGAGCGUUGUCCGGAUUUAUUGGGCGUAAAGCGAGCGCAGGCGGUUUGAUAAGUCUGAAGUUAAAGGCUGUGGCUCAACCAUAGUUCGCUUUGGAAACUGUCAAACUUGAGUGCAGAAGGGGAGAGUGGAAUUCCAUGUGUAGCGGUGAAAUGCGUAGAUAUAUGGAGGAACACCGGUGGCGAAAGCGGCUCUCUGGUCUGUAACUGACGCUGAGGCUCGAAAGCGUGGGGAGCGAACAGG